CCUGGCUCAGAACGAACGCUGGCGGCAGGCCUAAUACAUGCAAGUCGAGCGCGCCCUUCGGGGUGAGCGGCGGACGGGUGAGUAACGCGUGGGAAUAUGCCCUUCUCUAAGGAAUAGCCUCUGGAAACGGAGAGUAAUACCUUAUACGCCCUUUGGGGGAAAGAUUUAUCGGAGAAGGAUUAGCCCGCGUUAGAUUAGGUAGUUGGUGGGGUAAUGGCCUACCAAGCCUACGAUCUAUAGCUGGUUUGAGAGGAUGAUCAGCCACACUGGGACUGAGACACGGCCCAGACUCCUACGGGAGGCAGCAGUAGGGAAUCUUAGACAAUGGGGGCAACCCUGAUCUAGCCAUGCCGCGUGUGUGAUGAAGGCCCUAGGGUCGUAAAGCACUUUCGCCAGAGAUGAUAAUGACAGUAUCUGGUAAAGAAACCCCGGCUAACUCCGUGCCAGCAGCCGCGGUAAUACGGAGGGGGUUAGCGUUGUUCGGAAUUACUGGGCGUAAAGCGCACGUAGGCGGAUUAGUAAGUUAGAGGUGAAAUCCCAGGGCUCAACCCUGGAACUGCCUUUAAUACUGCUAGUCUUGAGUUCGAGAGAGGUAAGUGGAAUUCCGAGUGUAGAGGUGAAAUUCGUAGAUAUUCGGAGGAACACCAGUGGCGAAGGCGGCUUACUGGCUCGAUACUGACGCUGAGGUGCGAAAGUGUGGGGAGCAAACAGGAUUAGAUACCCUGGUAGUCCACACCGUAAACGAUGAAUGCCAGACGUCAGCAAGUAUACUUGUUUGGUGUC
RNAcentral lists this ribosomal RNA (783 nucleotides) under uncultured Paracoccaceae bacterium. Its description in RNAcentral is "bacterial SSU rRNA". It matches the Rfam family "Bacterial small subunit ribosomal RNA", at positions 18 to 847 of the family's 1533-position model. The record is from RNAcentral. Lineage: Bacteria; Pseudomonadati; Pseudomonadota; Alphaproteobacteria; Rhodobacterales; Paracoccaceae.